RNAcentral lists this long non-coding RNA (987 nucleotides) under Homo sapiens (human). Its description in RNAcentral is "HSALNT0194399". The record is from RNAcentral. Lineage: Eukaryota; Metazoa; Chordata; Mammalia; Primates; Hominidae.
GGGAGGAGGGGGCCUGCCUCCGCCGCCGCGGCGCCGACCCCGCCUCCCGGUUGGCAAGGCCCCCAGUGGCCAAGGCAUGAGCCUGGAUGCCCUGCAAAUUGAGUACGUGUUAGGGAUGGGGGCCAUUCUUUAUAGUUUGACUCUGGAGAGCUAGGACCACCUUUCCCAGCCUCAGGGGUGCACAUCCUCAGGAGCUGCCUACCUCCAGAUAUUCACUUCGGGACGCUGAGAGAGGUGGAUCACCUGAGGUCAGGAGUUCGAGAUCAGCCUGGCCAACAUGGAGAAACCCCGCCUCUACUAAAAAUACAAAACAUUAGCUGGGUGUGGUGGCACACACCUGUAAUUCCAGCUACUCGGGAGGCAGAAGCAGGAGAAUCGCUUGAAUCCAGGAGGCGGAGGUUGCAGUAAGCCGAGAUCACGCCACUACACUCCAGCUUACACUGGACAUGAUGAGGAGGAGGAGGAUGAUGGUGGUGAUUAUGAUAGAAAUGGUGAUGGUGAUGAUGACAAUGGUGAUAGUAGGGAUGGUCUUGCUCUGUCGCAAUCAAUAAAUGAAUGCAUAAACACAUUUCUACUUGUUUUUGCAGUCCUAAGAUAAGUGCUCAGUAGCAUCCCUGCCCUUCUAAUGUGAACUUGAGGGAUGGGUAAGACCCAGAGAUGGCAUGGGGGACGGGAUAAGGAAGGCCUACUGUUCAUAUUGUGAACAUGAAAUGGUUUUACAUUUUGAUGCCACUUCAUUAAAUUGACUGUAUGAUAUGAGCUAACGCUACACCCUCCUUUAAAUUUUGGCUAACACAUCCAUAUCCUCAGGUGGUAUCAGUUGAUAAUGCCCAUGAAAAUAUUUUGUAAACUACAGGGUGCUAAACAAUUAUUUACUUGUAUCCCUUUCUGUGGGGCACAGUUUGAUGCUAUACACAAAGCAGUGAAGUCUCGACAAGAAUGAUGACCACUACAAUGAGCACAAAAUAAAGUCUUUUUGGGGUUUUU